CAGACGAACACUUAGAUCAAGAUUGUGUUGAUUCUAAUUCUUACAUCAAUUACCAUUUCACCAAAGAUAUCAUCACUAACACCUUGAUAAUAGUUCCUCUCCUAGAACCAAGACAACAUCCUAUUUAUCCCAAAAUUCAGUUGGAUAUUAUUCUGCAGUUUCGAAAACUUUAGCGCCCGUCUCUGCCUCAGUGAUCCAUGGCGGAUUUGUCAUCGAACCGAGCAAUGGAGUUUCCGGGACAAGAUCAUACAUCUCAAGUUCUUCCGACGCGGCCAUGCAUGCAGAGCCGUUGCCAAGACGUUGAUCCAAGAUAUUACCUAUUUGCGAGGCUUCCACGGCAAAAAGCAAAAUGUCUUCGGCAGGAGGAAUCCUGUCAUGAUUAUGCAUGCCUGGUCAUGCCAGUGAAUCGACGCUACAAAACUAAAAAGACGGUGUGCGCUGUGCAGGGGUCGUCAGACAGCACGAUGGAGUGGAUGAUGAUGAAUAUGGACCGCUUCUUCGCCCCGACCAUCCAGCUGGGUGGUUAUGUGGGCGAAGACAAGUAUGUGGUCGCACCCAACUGUCGAGCCAAAGUAGAAGAGAUUCUUCAUCGCCUGAACCAAGACAAAGCAAGAUGGCACUUCAGACGAUCAUUAUUCAUGAACAAAAUAAUAUCAAAGAAUUUGUUGCCAACAUUAAUUCAUGUAAAAGAUGAUAGAGGAGUAAUGGAAGCAAUUAUUAAAGUGCUACAAGAAUUGAUGACACCUGUGGAAUGUCUUAUGCCGGUGGAAAUAAUGGGAAGAAAUUAUGAGGGUCGUCAUAUUGUACAUGAACUGGAAUCCGCCAUAGUAAUGACUAAGAAGCUAUUCCUCGAUACCCGUGUCACUAAAGCUCUCAUUGAUCUGAUGAGUUCAGUUUUACAGGAUUCAAAGGUGCUAAGCCUUGCCGAGUGUGAGCUUAUCAACCAUUGCCUGCUGCUGGUGAGAAACCUCCUCCAUGUGAGCAACAUCCCCUGUCCACUCAUCAACAAAGCCAUGUACAAUCCACCAACAUCAUCAUCAUCCUCAAAUCAGCAGGCUGGAGCGAGUCCAGAAGUUUUGACUGAGGAUCAAAUUAUGUGGAACCUGUUUGCUCAUAGAUUCGACAAUAUCCUCAUACAGUUGUUAACAUGUGACCAGCAGCAUUUAUGGAAUGUCACCCUAGUGCAGCUCGUGUCCUUAAUGUACCGUGAGCAGCAGCAAAGCACAAUUCGAAAGCUUAUUCACGAAUGGUUGGAAUCCUCUCUCUCGGAGAGUUCGGAGGAUGAUGAGAAUAAUACCAUGUCAUCUUCAUCCUCGGAUGCCAUCUCUACAUCUGAUCCGGUAUCAGACUCCUCAGAAAGAUUAUCUCCCGUUGACAGUGUUAACAAAGGGGAGAACACUAAUGUAAAUGAAAAUAAUGAAAAUUCAGACACUUCAAGAAUUGCAAAGACAGAUAAGGAGGAUAGCUGUAAGGACAGUGGGUUUGGCCGGUCAGGUUCUAACAUGGAUUCGUCUCCUGAAGAGUCAGUUUCAGAGGGCACCAGUCAACGUAUGCAGAAAAUUUGGAAUUCCACUUCUACAAAUGAUGAUAGUCAGCAAUACUCCACUGAUCACACAUCAUCACUAAACAAUUUGGACCAAGUCCAGAAUGAAAAUGUAAAGCAUAGAGAGAACAAGAUGGAUCAGAUGGAAACUUCUCCUUUAGGACUAGAUAACAUGAAGGACGAACUUAGUGAAAGGGAAAGUGAUCAAGGAGGAAGUGGAGGUAGCGAAGGGGGUAGCGAAGGUAGUAGUCCAGUGCCUGCUAUGGGCCAAGAAUCCCCAAUAUCACAGAUAGAUAUUGAUAGUCGGGAUCCAAACCUUCCUCAGUAUAUUCAUAAUGUUGAUGAAGAGAUUCUAACAGCCGUUGGUUCAUUGCUGAUGGAGGAUGGAGGCUGUGACCCGACACCAUUAAGAGUAGAGACCAUAGAUAAUGUGGCCCAAAUGGAAGAGGAGGUUAAUCAGCAGAUGUGUUCACCACAAGAGUCCAUCAAGAGACCCCCAAACAAAGAGGAGUCUGGGUCAAGUGGUGAUUCAAGUGAGAAAAAGCCUCCACCUCAGUUGCCAAAGUUACUUAAGAACAAGCCCCUAACAGGUCAGAAAAGAUCCAGACACACAAUGUCACAAAAAAUGCUCUCAGAGAGUCAGGAGAAUAACGAAUCGAGCAACUCAACCGGCUCGGAAUGCGACGAGGGCCCCCAUGCCAAGCGGCCGCAUCAUCAGAAGCCUCACAAGAUGUUGAGCAAACCAAGACCAGCCAAGAUGCUCCAGAAGGCACUACAGGAAAGAAACAUCAAGCGGAGUAAAUUGAUGAAGCGCAAAGAGAGUAACAGCAUAAAGGCAAAAGCACUCUUACAUCAUCACCCAACAGCAGAUGAUAUUUCUAACUUACUGAAGGAAUUCACAGUUGACUUUAUGCUUAAUGGAUAUUCUAAUAUGGUACAGGGUUUAAGACUACAAGUUAUGCUACCGUACCAGAUUGAUCUUGACAAAUCUCAUGUUUUGUGGCUCAUAACAUACUUCCUGCGGUUUGCUGUUGAGCUUGAUCUGGAGCUCUCACAAAUUUGUCCAGUUUUGUCAGUUGAUGUGGUUUCUUACUUGGUGUACGAAGGAGUAGUUAUGCAAGAAGAGUUGGAACAAGCAGUCCGUUCUGGUGAAGACAAUCUACUCCCUCAUGUCAGACGUCUGCACCUUGUGGUUACAGCUCUUAGGGAAUUUUUUGUAGCCUUGGAUGUCUGUUUGAAGAAGGAACAGAACUUGUGUAAUGCUGGGAAUUUAUUGCAAAUAAAAGAAGAACUUGGGCAGCUUGUUGAAGUCCGACAGUUGUUUGUCCUGUUGAUACGCAUGUAUAGGCCAGGAGUAUUGAACCUCAAUUAUCUCCAAGAUCUCAUUACAACAAAUCAUCGAUUCCUGACAACUCAGGAGGGUAACAACCCCACAAGUGCAUCCUCGCAGUGUUUCAACAUUGUAAAUCAUAUCAAACAAUUUGCCACCAUGGACAUGAUGCGUCAAUAUGGCCGGCUCCUUGAAAACUUCAACAUCAAUGAUGAAACUGUAAAUGACUGCAUAUUCACAAUGAUGCACCACAUUGCGGGGGAUCUGCGCAAUGUCAAUGUUUUACUGCAACCACCUAUUUUGAGAGUUUUCCUCCGCAUUUGGAAGGAGGGUUUUGAACUUUGCGCAGAUUGGGCUGAUCUCAUAGAAUAUGUUUUAAGAAAAUGCACUCGUGUUCGCACAGAACACCCCAAUAAGGAAAAGAAAGACACACAGAAACCAGUGUCAGAACCUCUGGGCAUUGAAUUGACGGACGAAGACCUUGACCAGCUCUACUCUCUCUACACUGCCUCCACCAGCGAGCAAGACUUAAUGGAUAAAAUCAAAGAAAUCUGCUGUGAUGACUCAAUAGAAGAACCAAUUAAGAAAGAGGUUAUCCAGAAGUUGCUUGCCCGAGGAUUUAUAACUACAAGUGAAUGUUCAAAACUUUGUGCUGAGAUACCACCAAUUGAGCCUCUGGUCAGCAAGAGUGAGGGGGCUUUGAGUGUGGAGUGUGAUGUCAUGCAAGUGAGCAGCGACUCUGAGGAAUCCAUGGAUGCUCCACAUCCUGCACCGCUUAAGAGCAUCAACAAGAAAUACUCCGAGAAGAACAUCAGCGCAGUUCAUGAGAUGAUGCCACUGCUUGGCCCACUGAAAAGCAAGAAGCUUGUGCCUCCAGAAGUUGACAAUGCCAAGAACUUGGAAGAGAAGAUCAUCCCAUUGCACAAGGAAACAAGUGAUUCAGUACAAGGUGCUUCAUCAGACAAAACCGAAGAAAGUGCAGAAAGCAACAUGACCUGUACUGAAGAUAGCACUGACUGGGAUGAUAAUACAACCAUAACAAUGCUUAUAGGCCAACUUAAGGAAGAAGGUUAUGGGGCUCAAGUCCAGUGGUUGCAGCUUCAACUCUUAGAAGCUUGUUAUUCAAAGCUGAAGAUGGUUGGCCCAAACUUACCAAAGGCAGAACCAGUCCCUUGUCAUUUUACACUAUCAAAUCAAUCCAUACCACUGGUACCAUGGACAAGUGAGCAGGAAGAAGCAUUUUCCUCCUUAAAGUUCCGCCAAUUGCUGGGAGAGCUUGGCUUCCACCUCCCCUCUGACACGGGUAAAAUCUUCCCAAGAAUUCCACACUUUUGGUGUCCGGAUGUACUGUUCAUGGUGGCAAAACGUCUUGGACCCAUUAAUGGCAAGGAGAUGAAGACACCACUGUCCUCAAGGAUUCUUCACUGCUUGAUUGUGAUGACUCCUCUGAACGAGUUAGCGACUGCUCCAUGGAAAACAAUCGCUCCAGCCCCACCUCACCCGCAUCCUCAAUAGACGAGAAACUGGCUCUGCUGCACGACGAAGAGACCGAGAGCAGCGAAUUCUCCCAAAGAAUCCCUAUGGCUGGUUUGAUGGUAUCUCCAGCAGGCGUACCAGCUGGUCAUGAGAGUCUAGAAGACCAUGACGGCGUAAUAUCCUCCCCAGCACGACCCAUUUCAACAGCUGAUGAUGUCAUGAUGAUGUUGUCAGACACUGAAGAGGCUCCUGCAUCAGUGGAAGUACCUCUUUUUCUGUGUUCUGAAAACCAGGAAGUGAAAAUGGACACGUAGACUCUUUGCAAUGCUCUUGGGCAACUUGUCAUGACUCAUUCUCUUCUGUGAAACCUGUGUUGAUGCGCUGAGACUUGUAUGUGAUGAAUGGAUACGAAAUCAUGAUGAUUGAAGUCAUUCCAACAGAAAAUCAGUGAAGUUGUUUAAUAAUUUAUCUAGUUUUUAAGAUAGUAUAUUUUUUUUAAUUUGUACAUAGAUUGUUAAAUGGACUGUACAACAAUGUGUUUGAAGCACAGGAAACUGAUUAGUACAACUUGCAGUUGGACUAUUCACCCUAUACAUGGAGGAGAUAUUGAUGUAUAAUUUUUUUUAUGAAGAAAUAUCCACUGAUUAUUGUAUAUUUAUACUGCUAAUGCAAAAUUUCUUAAUUUUCAUGAAUCAUUACACAUGUACAGUUGUUCAUACUUAAACAUCCCAUACACAUAAACAGGCACUAGGGGAGCAAAUUCUUAGCUCUUGAGUACAAAAUAUAUUACCAUGAAUAACAGGACCAUUUUACUAUAAUCAUACUGGUCUUUUCGAAGAGGAAAGUAAGUUAUAUUUUUUAGAAUGUUUUUGGGGCAAGCUGUGAUUGUUUACAUAUAUAUAUAUAUAUAUAUAUAUAUAUAUAGAAAAAAAAAAAAAAAAAAAAUAGAUUGUGCCGUAGAAAUAUGAGAUUGUUUCCUCUUGUGAUCAGGUACAUGUUUGUUUAGAUAUGUCAUGCAGGACAUUAGUUGAACAGGCCUGCCCUUGUAGAAAGACCUCUAGUAAGUUUGGAUCUCUAUCACUGUAAGAUCAUGUUCCUCUAGUCCUUGAAUUCUUGACUUCAAGCUCAAAGCAAAAUAUAUUUCAGGUUUUUGUGUUAGUCUUUUUUUAUUGUUAGGCAUAAUUUGCAAUGUCACUGUAAUGUAUAUAAUUGUCCAUAUGUCAGUAAAAUAUUUAUAGAUAC
This 5591-nucleotide unclassified non-coding RNA is filed under the name Penaeus japonicus. RNAcentral's name for it is "protein timeless-like, transcript variant X8". Lineage: Eukaryota; Metazoa; Arthropoda; Malacostraca; Decapoda; Penaeidae. The record is from RNAcentral.